RNAcentral lists this long non-coding RNA (841 nucleotides) under Marmota monax (woodchuck). The record is from RNAcentral. Lineage: Eukaryota; Metazoa; Chordata; Mammalia; Rodentia; Sciuridae.
UUCCUCUGUACUAUUAAGUUUAAUCACAAUUAACCUGCUAACCUCCUUUAUUAGCUCUAGCAAGGGUUUCUGGGUUUUGUUUUGUUUGCUUUUGGUGCUGAGGGUGGAGCGCCAGGAAGCCUGCAGGCAGAGGUCUGUGCGCCCCUGUUGCGCUCCCUCCUGAGCUGUGCUCAGCCCCAGCUGGGUGUUUUGGGUCAUGAGCGUCAAAGGCGGCUCAAAGGUCAAAGGCGGCUUCCCUGUCCCCUCUCUAGUCUGGCUGCCUUUCUGUUCCUUGCUUCAGGAGCCAGAACCUCCAGCGUGGGACGCGGCAGGACUGGCCAGGGCAGACACAGCAGCUCCUGGUCACGCCUGACGGCUCUCGCCUUCCGGGUCACUGUGCCGUCACUGUCACUGCGUCACUGUGGGACUUUCACAGAUGCCCCACGCCAGGUGAGGAGGCCCCCUCCUGUCCUAGUUUGCUGGAGGUUUUCUUUUGUUUGCAAUUUUUUGUUUGUUUAUUUUUUUAAGUCGGGAAUGUUUUUUUUUUAAGAUGGACACAAUAUCUUUAUUUAUUUUAUUUAUUAUUUUUUUAGGUGGUGCUGAGGAUCAAACCCAGUACCUCACAAGUGUGAGGCAAACGCUCUACCACGGAGCCACAACCCCAGCCCCAGGAAUGGAUUUUGCCAAAUGCUUUUGUUUUUAGUUUUUUGCAUCUAUUUUGAGAUAAUCACCUGUUUUUUCCCCCUCUGUUAGGAAUUGCAUUGAUUGCUUUCCAAAUGUUAAGCCAACCUUUGUUCCUGAGAUGGACUCCAUCUGGUCAAGCUGAAUUGUCCUCUUAAUAUAUCAUUGAAUUUGAUUUGCU